Molecule: non-coding RNA, 31 nt
Filed under: Rattus norvegicus (Norway rat)
Lineage: Eukaryota; Metazoa; Chordata; Mammalia; Rodentia; Muridae
Source: RNAcentral
UGAACAGGAAUGCAAUCUUUCUAUGUCUCAU